RNAcentral lists this ribosomal RNA (463 nucleotides) under uncultured bacterium. RNAcentral's name for it is "partial 16S ribosomal RNA". It matches the Rfam family "Bacterial small subunit ribosomal RNA", at positions 338 to 795 of the family's 1533-position model. The record is from RNAcentral.
CCUGGGAGGCAGCAGUAGGGAAUCUUCCACAAUGGGCGAAAGCCUGAUGGAGCAACGCCGCGUGGGUGAAGAAGGUCUUCGGAUCGUAAAACCCUGUUGUUAGAGAAGAAAGUGCGUGAGAGUAACUGUUCACGUUUCGACGGUAUCUAACCAGAAAGCCACGGCUAACUACGUGCCAGCAGCCGCGGUAAUACGUAGGUGGCAAGCGUUAUCCGGAUUUAUUGGGCGUAAAGGGAACGCAGGCGGUCUUUUAAGUCUGAUGUGAAAGCCUUCGGCUUAACCGGAGUAGUGCAUUGGAAACUGUGUAACUGGAGUACAGGAGGGGCAGGCGGAAUUCCUGGUGUAGCGGUGAAAUGCGUAGAUAUCAGGAGGAACACCGGCGGCGAAGGCGGCCUGCUGGACUGAAACUGACGUUGAGGCUCGAAAGCGUGGGGAGCAAACAGGAUUAGAUACCCUUGUAGUC